GGAUGUGAGGGCGAUCUGGCUGUGACACUGUCACCCCAUUGAUCGCCAGGGUUGAUUCGGCUGAUCUGGCUGGCGAGGCGGGUGGCCCCUUCCUCCCUCACCGCUCCAUGUGCGUCUCUCCCGAAGCUGCCCGCUCAGUGGAAGAGGACGGCCUUCCCUGAAUAGAGACGGACCGGUCUUCAGUCAAGGGUAUACGAGUAGCUGCGCUCCCCUGCUAGAACCUCCAAACAAGCUCUCAAAACAUAAGCUUGUACUUGAACUCACAUAGAGAUGUAUGGUGUUUGUGUCUGUGAUUCUUU
This 299-nucleotide small nuclear RNA is filed under the name Erinaceus europaeus (western European hedgehog). Its description in RNAcentral is "7SK RNA". It matches the Rfam family "7SK RNA". Rfam says of the family: 7SK was discovered as an abundant small nuclear RNA in the mid-70s but a possible function has only recently been suggested. Two independent studies have found that 7SK RNA binds the CDK9/cyclin T complex (known as elongation factor P-TEFb). The record is from Rfam by way of RNAcentral. Lineage: Eukaryota; Metazoa; Chordata; Mammalia; Eulipotyphla; Erinaceidae.